RNAcentral lists this ribosomal RNA (200 nucleotides) under uncultured organism. RNAcentral describes it as "partial small subunit ribosomal RNA". It matches the Rfam family "Bacterial small subunit ribosomal RNA", at positions 1183 to 1382 of the family's 1533-position model. The record is from RNAcentral.
CGUCAAAUCAUCAUGCCCCUUAUGACCUGGGCUACACACGUGCUACAAUGGCCGGGACAAACCGAAGCGAUGCCGUGAGGCGGAGCGAAUCGGAAAAACCCGGUCUAAGUUCGGAUUGCAGUCUGUAACUCGACUGCAUGAAGCUGGAAUCGCUAGUAAUCGUGGAUCAGCAUGCCGCGGUGAAUACGUUCCCGGGUCUU